Molecule: ribosomal RNA, 459 nt
Filed under: uncultured bacterium
Lineage: Bacteria
Description: partial 16S ribosomal RNA
Rfam family: Bacterial small subunit ribosomal RNA
Source: RNAcentral
CUACGGGGCGCUGCAGUGAGGAAUAUUGGUCAAUGGGCGCAAGCCUGAACCAGCCAUGCCGCGUGAAGGAUGACGGCCCUAUGGGUUGUAAACUUCUUUUAUACGGGAAGAAACGCCUCUACGUGUAGAGGUUUGACGGUACCGUACGAAUAAGCAUCGGCUAACUCCGUGCCAGCAGCCGCGGUAAUACGGAGGAUGCAAGCGUUAUCCGGAUUUAUUGGGUUUAAAGGGUACGUAGGCGGAAGAUUAAGUCAGUAGUGAAAUCCCGCAGCUUAACUGUAGAACUGUUAUUGAUACUGGUUUUCUUGAAUGUAGUUGAGGUAGGCGGAAUAAGUAAUGUAGCGGUGAAAUGCUUAGAUAUUACUUAGAACACCGAUUGCGAAGGCAGCUUACUAAGCUAUGAUUGACGCUGAGGUACGAAAGCGUGGGGAGCGAACAGGAUUAGAUACCCUCGUAGUC